This 451-nucleotide ribosomal RNA is filed under the name uncultured bacterium. RNAcentral describes it as "partial 16S ribosomal RNA". It matches the Rfam family "Bacterial small subunit ribosomal RNA", at positions 355 to 799 of the family's 1533-position model. The record is from RNAcentral.
UGGGGAAUAUUGGACAAUGGGCGCAAGCCUGAUCCAGCAAUGCCGCGUGUGUGAAGAAGGCCUUCGGGUUGUAAAGCACUUUUAUCAGGAGCGAAACGCUGUCGGCUAAUACCCGGCGGAACUGACGGUACCUGAGGAAUAAGCACCGGCUAACUUCNUGCCAGCAGCCGCGGUAAUACGAAGGGUGCAAGCGUUAAUCGGAAUUACUGGGCGUAAAGCGUCGUAGGCGGUUUCUUAAGUCUGCUGUGAAAUCCCCGGGCUCAACCUGGGAAUGGCAGUGGAUACUGGGAGGCUAGAGUGUGUCAGAGGGUGGUGGAAUUCCCGGUGUAGCGGUGAAAUGCGUAGAGAUCGGGAGGAACAUCAGUGGCGAAGGCGGCCACCUGGGACAACACUGACGCUGAGGCACGAAAGCGUGGGGAGCAAACAGGAUUAGAUACCCUGGUAGUCCACG